CAGUAUAGUCAAAAGAAGGUGUUUGAGUGAGUCUUCUGCUGAUCACAGUAUGAAGUAGGGUUUAAGAGGGUGGCAGAGUUUCUUCAGACCCCUGCUGGUCAUAGCGAAGAAAAGCAAAUUCUGCAAAUCCAAUUGACUUAACACUGCAGAGGGUUUAUCCCUAUUGUUAAUUGUAUUAACCUACAAAAGGAUUGGAGGAUUAAUUAGAAAUAAGGACCAGGAGAUGAAGUGAAGAUUCUCAGGGGAGACACCACUAUGUAUUAUCCUGGAACUGUGUAAUUAUUUGAUUUCUUACUAUUAGAGAGUAGCACCCUUACCUGAAUGUAACCUUAAUCGCCUCUUCUUUUAUUCUUAGCUUUGUGUUUUUGAACAGAUUGCUAAUUGUAUUCCAAACCUGAACCACCUACUGAAGACCUGCAGAAAAAGAAGUGGAAGAAUUCUGAGUGUCCUAAUUUGAGAGGAGGUUAUAGCACAAUAUUAUUAAGAUCAAACUGCCUCUCACCUCAAAUCAAGAAGAAAACCACUCUGCUUUGACUAAAGCCAGCACUGAAAAUUGCUCUGCCAAGAAUGCAGACCAUGGCAGGUUUCACGUGACAUUCAACCCACAGAGAAAGACAAAACAAAGAGCUUCUUGACUUAUU
Molecule: long non-coding RNA, 641 nt
Filed under: Numida meleagris (helmeted guineafowl)
Lineage: Eukaryota; Metazoa; Chordata; Aves; Galliformes; Numididae
Description: lncRNA (ENSNMEG00000020150.1)
Source: RNAcentral